This 433-nucleotide ribosomal RNA is filed under the name uncultured bacterium. RNAcentral's name for it is "partial 16S ribosomal RNA". It matches the Rfam family "Bacterial small subunit ribosomal RNA", at positions 29 to 507 of the family's 1533-position model. The record is from RNAcentral.
AACGAACGCUGGCGGCAUGCCUAACACAUGCAAGUCGAACGACACCUCCGGGUUUGGCGGGGCACGGGGGCGUAACGGGUGGGAACCUGCCCUUAGGUUCGGAAUAAAUUCCCGGAAAGGGUGCUAAAACCGGAAAAUAUCCUGGAAACAAAUGUUUGUCGCCUUUGGAUGGGCGCGCGUUGGCUUAGCUUGGUGGUAGGGUAAGAGCCUACCAAGGCGUCGUUCGAUAGAUGGUCAGAGAGGAGGAGCAGCCACACUGGGAGGGAGCCACGGCCCAGACUCCUACGGAAGGGGGGAGAGGGGGAUACUGGACUACGGGCGAAGGCCUGAUGCAGCAAUGGCUCGUAAGUGAUGAUGGCCGUAGGGUAGUAAAGCUCUCUUACCCGGGAUGGGAAUGACGGUACCGGGAGAAUAAGCACCGGCUAACUCCGUG